GAUAAACGCUGGCGGCGUGCCUAAUACAUGCAAGUCGAGCGAACGGACGAGAAGCUUGCUUCUCUGAUGUUAGCGGCGGACGGGUGAGUAACACGUGGAUAACCUACCUAUAAGACUGGGAUAACUUCGGGAAACCGGAGCUAAUACCGGAUAACAUUUUGAACCGCAUGGUUCAAAAGUGAAAGACGGUCUUGCUGUCACUUAUAGAUGGAUCCGCGCUGCAUUAGCUAGUUGGUAAGGUAACGGCUUACCAAGGCAACGAUGCAUAGCCGACCUGAGAGGGUGAUCGGCCACACUGGAACUGAGACACGGUCCAGACUCCUACGGGAGGCAGCAGUAGGGAAUCUUCCGCAAUGGGCGAAAGCCUGACGGAGCAACGCCGCGUGAGUGAUGAAGGUCUUCGGAUCGUAAAACUCUGUUAUUAGGGAAGAACAUAUGUGUAAGUAACUGUGCACAUCUUGACGGUACCUAAUCAGAAAGCCACGGCUAACUACGUGCCAGCAGCCGCGGUAAUAUGUAGGUGGCAAGCGUUAUCCGGAAUUAUUGGGCGUAAAGCGCGCGUAGGCGGUUUUUUAAGUCUGAUGUGAAAGCCCACGGCUCAACCGUGGAGGGUCAUUGGAAACUGGAAAACUUGAGUGCAGAAGAGGAAAGUGGAAUUCCAUGUGUAGCGGUGAAAUGCGCAGAGAUAUGGAGGAACACCAGUGGCGAAGGCGACUUUCUGGUCUGUAACUGACGCUGAUGUGCGAAAGCGUGGGGAUCAAACAGGAUUAGAUACCCUGGUAGUCCACGCCGUAAACGAUGAGUGCUAAGUGUUAGGGGGUUUCCGCCCCUUAGUGCUGCAGCUAACGCAUUAAGCACUCCGCCUGGGGAGUACGACCGCAAGGUUGAAACUCAAAGGAAUUGACGGGGACCCGCACAAGCGGUGGAGCAUGUGGUUUAAUUCGAAGCAACGCGAAGAACCUUACCAAAUCUUGACAUCCUUUGACAACUCUAGAGAUAGAGCCUUCCCCUUCGGGGGACAAAGUGACAGGUGGUGCAUGGUUGUCGUCAGCUCGUGUCGUGAGAUGUUGGGUUAAGUCCCGCAACGAGCGCAACCCUUAAGCUUAGUUGCCAUCAUUAAGUUGGGCACUCUAAGUUGACUGCCGGUGACAAACCGGAGGAAGGUGGGGAUGACGUCAAAUCAUCAUGCCCCUUAUGAUUUGGGCUACACACGUGCUACAAUGGACAAUACAAAGGGCAGCGAAACCGCGAGGUCAAGCAAAUCCCAUAAAGUUGUUCUCAGUUCGGAUUGUAGUCUGCAACUCGACUACAUGAAGCUGGAAUCGCUAGUAAUCGUAGAUCAGAAUGCUACGGUGAAUACGUUCCCGGGUCU
RNAcentral lists this ribosomal RNA (1372 nucleotides) under uncultured bacterium. RNAcentral describes it as "bacterial SSU rRNA". It matches the Rfam family "Bacterial small subunit ribosomal RNA", at positions 28 to 1381 of the family's 1533-position model. The record is from RNAcentral.